UACGGAGGGUGCGAGCGUUGUCCGGAAUUACUGGGCGUAAAGAGCUCGUAGGUGGUUUGUCGCGUUGGGCGUGAAAACUCACAGCUUAACUGUGGGCGUGCGGGCGAUACGGGCAGACUGGAGUACUGCAGGGGAGACUGGAAUUCCUGGUGUAGCGGUGGAAUGCGCAGAUAUCAGGAGGAACACCGGUGGCGAAGGCGGGUCUCUGGGCAGUAACUGACGCUGAGGAGCGAAAGCGUGGGGAGCGAACAGG
This 253-nucleotide ribosomal RNA is filed under the name uncultured bacterium. Its description in RNAcentral is "partial 16S ribosomal RNA". It matches the Rfam family "Bacterial small subunit ribosomal RNA", at positions 524 to 776 of the family's 1533-position model. The record is from RNAcentral.